AUACGUAGGGGGCGCAAGCGUUGUUCGGAAUUACUGGGCGUAAAGGGCGGGCAGGCGGUCUGCUCAGUCUUCUGUGAAAAUCCGGGGCUCAACCCCGCGAAAUGCAGAAGAUACUGGCAGACUAGAGACCGGUAGAGGCUAGCGGAAUUCCUGGUGUAGCGGUGGAAUGCGUAGAUAUCAGGAAGAACACCUGUGGCGAAGGCGGCUAGCUGGGCCGGAUCUGACGCUCAUCCGCGAAAGCGUGGGGAGCAAACAGGAUUAGAUACCCCGGUAGUCC
Molecule: ribosomal RNA, 277 nt
Filed under: uncultured bacterium
Lineage: Bacteria
Description: partial 16S ribosomal RNA
Rfam family: Bacterial small subunit ribosomal RNA
Source: RNAcentral